Pelobates cultripes (western spadefoot toad) is the source of this 208-nucleotide non-coding RNA. NCBI's taxonomy places the organism in Eukaryota, Metazoa, Chordata, Amphibia, Anura, Pelobatidae. The record is from the annotation of a GenBank genome assembly.
GCUAAAACUUUGAAUUUCAUCCAAAUCAGGCUAUCCACAUCCAAUCCAGUCACUUUUUGGACAGAAUGGAAAGACCUUUCCGAGAAUAUAUGACAUGUGGGGGUGCUCAGUUCUACUAUAUUGUGUAUGUUUUGAGGUGUUUUUUAUAUUGCACUUUCUGUGUCCAAGAGAUGAUUAGUUAAACCGAGAGCUGACUCAAUUAUCAGGU